GAUGAACGCUAGCGGCAGGCCUAACACAUGCAAGUCGAGGGGGAAGUUACUUUCGGGUGACUGAGACCGGCGUACGGGUGCGUAACGCGUAUACAAUCUGCCUUUCACUGGGGGAUAGCCCGAAGAAAUUUGGAUUAAUACCCCAUAGUAUAUAGGGACGGCAUCGUUUUUAUAUUAAAGUUUAGGUGGUGAAAGAUGAGUAUGCGUUCUAUUAGCUAGUUGGAGAGGUAACGGCUCCCCAAGGCGAUGAUAGAUAGGGGUUCUGAGAGGGAUGUCCCCCACACUGGUACUGAGAUACGGACCAGACUCCUACGGGAGGCAGCAGUGAGGAAUAUUGGACAAUGGUCGGAAGACUGAUCCAGCCAUGCCGCGUGCAGGAUGAAGGUCUUAUGGAUUGUAAACUGCUUUUGUAAUGGAAGAAUAAGGGCUACGCGUAGUUUGAUGACGGUACCUUACGAAUAAGCAUCGGCUAACUCCGUG
RNAcentral lists this ribosomal RNA (480 nucleotides) under uncultured bacterium. Its description in RNAcentral is "partial 16S ribosomal RNA". It matches the Rfam family "Bacterial small subunit ribosomal RNA", at positions 28 to 507 of the family's 1533-position model. The record is from RNAcentral.